UACGGAGGGGGCUAGCGUUGUUCGGAAUUACUGGGCGUAAAGCGCACGUAGGCGGUUAUUUAAGUCAGAGGUGAAAGCCUGGAGCUCAACUCCAGAACUGCCUUUGAGACUGGAUAACUAGAAUCUUGGAGAGGCGGGUGGAAUUCCGAGUGUAGAGGUGAAAUUCGUAGAUAUUCGGAAGAACACCAGUGGCGAAGGCGACCACCUGGACUGAUACUGACACUGAGGUGCGAAAGCGUGGGGAGCAAACAGG
This 253-nucleotide ribosomal RNA is filed under the name uncultured bacterium. RNAcentral describes it as "partial 16S ribosomal RNA". It matches the Rfam family "Bacterial small subunit ribosomal RNA", at positions 524 to 776 of the family's 1533-position model. The record is from RNAcentral.